GAUCGUGGGAGUGCGUGAUUUAAGAUGGACCAGAUAGCAAAGUAGAUCCUCUUGUUACUACUACUAAUCCGGGAAACUGUUUUAGUUCAAUGAAUCUUCUUAAAGGUUUAAUGGUUAUCCGUUUGUUAUCGUCUUUAAAUUCAAGAAGUUAACCUCGUGGUUUCGACUAAGCAAAAAUAAUACUUUAAUUAUAGUUGUAGAGAAAAAAAUUCAUUUCAAAAUAAAUGUAGUUUUAGAAUUUUAAUGCAAAAGUUAUUAACAAUAUUUUUCAGUUAUUUUAUAUUUAAUGAAAUAUAAUUAAGUGUAUAGGUAACAAUGUUUUUAUUUUAAAAAUAUAUAAAUUAAAUAUUUUCUUAAUUUAUGUGCAUAUACCUAAAAUGACAACUAAAAUAAUGCAUGGAGUAAUCAUUAUAGUGCUUUUAGAAUGUUGGAUAAAAGAAACUCGCUUUUGCGCUAAUGUC
This 461-nucleotide long non-coding RNA is filed under the name Brassica napus (rape). Its description in RNAcentral is "long non-coding RNA (BNAP_LNC022542)". Lineage: Eukaryota; Viridiplantae; Streptophyta; Magnoliopsida; Brassicales; Brassicaceae. The record is from RNAcentral.